This 435-nucleotide long non-coding RNA is filed under the name Homo sapiens (human). RNAcentral describes it as "HSALNT0356932". Lineage: Eukaryota; Metazoa; Chordata; Mammalia; Primates; Hominidae. The record is from RNAcentral.
CUCAUCUUAACCUAAUCUUAACCUAAUUAAUCAUAGUUGCAAAAACCCAUUUCCAAAUAAGGUCACAUUUUUAGGUACGGGUUAGGACUUAAACAUAGCUUUUUUGGGAGGGACACAGUUCAACCCAUAACAUCAACCUCUUCUACAUGUUGAUGUUAGUUACUUCCCUUUUCUUUGAGCUCUUUUCAUGAUCAUCUGUUUCAUCCUCCCCACCCCACCUCUCACACCCUUUCUUCUGUUUGUAUUUCCUUGCCGGCUUUUAUCCUCAGCCUGAAAAUAAGUUUCCACCCUUGUCUCCCCAACAUUGCCUAACUUCUCAAAGGUUUCCUCUUUGUUUGAUUAUUUUGCUCUGGCAACUUAUCAUCUCACUAUUUAACUGAAAAUUCUUUUAUUUAUUAUUUAUUUAUUUAUUUAUUUAGAGAUGGAGUUUUGCUC